ACACAGCCGUCUGGAGAGCCGCCCUGCCAUGCAGGGCGCACCGAAGGAGCAAGCACCGCGCGAGGACCGCGCGGCGUGAAUCUCUCAGGUACCGAGGACAGGGGGAGCGGC
RNAcentral lists this non-coding RNA (111 nucleotides) under Acidovorax sp. MR-S7. RNAcentral's name for it is "Glycine riboswitch aptamer". It matches the Rfam family "Glycine riboswitch aptamer". Rfam says of the family: This family represents the bacterial glycine riboswitch. RNAcentral also lists the same sequence under 1 other name. Lineage: Bacteria; Pseudomonadati; Pseudomonadota; Betaproteobacteria; Burkholderiales; Comamonadaceae. The record is from Rfam by way of RNAcentral.